UAUGUGAUCGUCUCUCGCAUAUCAAUAAGCGGAGGAAAAGAAACUAACAAGGAUUCCCCUAGUAACGGCGAGUGAAGCGGGAAGAGCUCAAAUUUGAAAUCUUAAAGGGCUUCCCUUUACGAAUUGUAGUUUAAAGAAGUGUUUUCUGUUGAGGUUUUGGUAAAAGUUCUUUGGAAUAGGACAUCAUAGAGGGUGAGAAUCCCGUAUUUGACCUUUACUUUCAACUUUGUGAUACACUUUCAAAGAGUCGGAUUGUUUGGGAAUGCAGUCCAAAAUGGGUGGUAAAUUUCAUCUAAAGCUAAAUAUUGGCGAGAGACCGAUAGCGAACAAGUACCGUGAGGGAAAGAUGAAAAGAACUUUGAAAAGAGAGUUAAACAGUACGUGAAAUUGUCAAAAGGGAAGCGUUUGACACCAGUGUUGUUUUUCUGAAAAUCAAUUAAAGAACUGUUUAUGCUAAGCUGUUUAGACUUUAUCAGCUAUCUGUUUAGUUUUGAGCUUUUCUUUAAUGCACUUUUCAGUUAACAAGUCAACAUCAAUUUCUUUUGCUGUAAAAAAGCUUGAGGAAGGUGGCUUGAGAUUCGUCUUAAGUGUUUAUAGCCUCUUGCCUAUGCAGUCGGAGAGAUUGGAGGUCUGCAGCGUAGAUCCUUCGGGGCUAAAUGCAUUUGUGCUAAGUUAUAGCAUUUUAUAGACAACUUGUUGACUAUGAUUUGUCUUGUAGCUUACUCGCUUAUGUUAUUUUACCUACGCUUAGGAUGUUGAGCGCAUGUCUCUCUC
This 774-nucleotide ribosomal RNA is filed under the name uncultured Neocallimastigales. RNAcentral's name for it is "partial large subunit ribosomal RNA". It matches the Rfam family "Eukaryotic large subunit ribosomal RNA", at positions 24 to 641 of the family's 3401-position model. The record is from RNAcentral. Lineage: Eukaryota; Fungi; Neocallimastigomycota; Neocallimastigomycetes; Neocallimastigales.